This 837-nucleotide ribosomal RNA is filed under the name uncultured organism. RNAcentral's name for it is "SSU rRNA". It matches the Rfam family "Bacterial small subunit ribosomal RNA", at positions 621 to 1470 of the family's 1533-position model. The record is from RNAcentral.
UUGCAGUUGAUACUGGAUGUCUGAAGUGCAGUUGAGGCAGGCGGAAUUCGUGGUGUAGCGGUGAAAUGCUUAGAUAUCACGAAGAACUCCGAUUGCGAAGGCAGCCUGCUAAGCUGCAACUGACAUUGAGGCUCGAAAGUGUGGGUAUCAAACAGGAUUAGAUACCCUGGUAGUCCACACGGUAAACGAUGAAUACUCGCUGUUUGCGAUAUACGGCAAGCGGCCAAGCGAAAGCGUUAAGUAUUCCACCUGGGGAGUACGCCGGCAACGGUGAAACUCAAAGGAAUUGACGGGGGCCCGCACAAGCGGAGGAACAUGUGGUUUAAUUCGAUGAUACGCGAGGAACCUUACCCGGGCUUAAAUUGCACUCGAAUGAUCCGGAAACGGUUCAGCUAGCAAUAGCGAGUGUGAAGGUGCUGCAUGGUUGUCGUCAGCUCGUGCCGUGAGGUGUCGGCUUAAGUGCCAUAACGAGCGCAACCCUUGUUGUCAGUUACUAACAGGUGAUGCUGAGGACUCUGACAAGACUGCCAUCGUAAGAUGUGAGGAAGGUGGGGAUGACGUCAAAUCAGCACGGCCCUUACGUCCGGGGCUACACACGUGUUACAAUGGGGGGUACAGAGGGCCGCUACCACGCGAGUGGAUGCCAAUCCCUAAAACCCCUCUCAGUUCGGACUGGAGUCUGCAACCCGACUCCACGAAGCUGGAUUCGCUAGUAAUCGCGCAUCAGCCACGGCGCGGUGAAUACGUUCCCGGGCCUUGUACACACCGCCCGUCAAGCCAUGGGAGCCGGGGGUACCUGAAGUGCGUAACCGCGAGGAUCGCCCUAGGGUAAAACUG